Schizosaccharomyces pombe (fission yeast) is the source of this 264-nucleotide non-coding RNA. The record is from the annotation of a GenBank genome assembly. Lineage: Eukaryota; Fungi; Ascomycota; Schizosaccharomycetes; Schizosaccharomycetales; Schizosaccharomycetaceae.
UUUUGACUAACAAGCUCAUCAAUUGCUUGUGCCACAGCAGCAUGAACGUUUUCAACGUCCUGUAAAGCUAUCGUCCUAAAAUUAUUGAUCAUAAGCAUUUGUAAAGGUUCACGACAAGUAACCAUUGCUAAAUUUCCGGCAAGGGUUUUAGCCAUUUGUCUAGCGGCUAAUAAAAGUCGGGAAGGAUUUGAUUCAGCUGCAAAAUCCUUCUGUAAAAGGCUCUUGGUAGUAAUAGCUGCAAUCCCAACAGAUCGUCGCACUACU